AGUGAACGCUGGCGGCAGGCCUAACACAUGCAAGUCGAACGGCAGCACAGGAGAGCUUGCUCUCUGGGUGGCGAGUGGCGGACGGGUGAGGAUAGCGUCGGAAUCUGCCUAUUUGUGGGGGAUAACCUCGGGAAACCGGGACUAAUACCGCAUACGACCUACGGGUGAAAGCGGAGGACCUUCGGGCUUCGCGCAGAUAGAUGAGCCGACGUCGGAUUAGCUAGUUGGCGGGGUAAUGGCCCACCAAGGCGACGAUCCGUAGUUGGUCUGAGAGGAUGAUCAGCCACGCUGGAACUGAGACACGGUCCAGACUCCUACGGGAGGCAGCAGUGGGGAAUAUUGGACAAUGGGCGCAAGCCUGAUCCAGCCAUGCCGCGUGGGUGAAGAAGGCCUUCGGGUUGUAAAGCCCUUUUGUUGGGAAAGAAAAGCAGCCGGUUAAUACCCGGUUGUCAUGACGGUACCCAAAGAAUAAGCACCGGCUAACUUCGUGCCAGCCGCCGCGGUAA
Molecule: ribosomal RNA, 506 nt
Filed under: uncultured bacterium
Lineage: Bacteria
Description: partial 16S ribosomal RNA
Rfam family: Bacterial small subunit ribosomal RNA
Source: RNAcentral